RNAcentral lists this ribosomal RNA (292 nucleotides) under uncultured bacterium. RNAcentral's name for it is "partial 16S ribosomal RNA". It matches the Rfam family "Bacterial small subunit ribosomal RNA", at positions 505 to 796 of the family's 1533-position model. The record is from RNAcentral.
GUGUCAGCCGCCGCGGUAAUACGGAGGGGGCUAGCGUUGUUCGGAAUUACUGGGCGUAAAGCGCACGUAGGCGGCUUUGUAAGUUAGAGGUGAAAGCCCGGGGCUCAACCCCGGAAUAGCCUUUAAGACUGCAUCGCUUGAACACGGGAGAGGUGAGUGGAAUUCCGAGUGUAGAGGUGAAAUUCGUAGAUAUUCGGAAGAACACCAGUGGCGAAGGCGGCUCACUGGACCGUUGUUGACGCUGAGGUGCGAAAGCGUGGGGAGCAAACAGGAUUAGAUACCCGUGUAGUCC